ACGGGAGGCAGCAGUGGGGAGUAUUGCACAAUGGGGGGAACCCUGAUGCAGCGACGCCGCGUGAGUGAAGAAGUUAUUCGUAAUGUAAAGCUCUAUCAGCAGGGAAGAAAAUGACGGUACCUGACUAAGAAGCCCCGGCUAACUACGUGCCAGCAGCCGCGGUAAUACGUCGGGGGCAAGCGUUAUCCGGAUUUACUGGGUGUAAAGGGAGCGUAGACGGCUUAGCAAGUCUGAUGUGAAAGGCAGGGGCUCAACUCCUGGACUGCAUUGGAAACUGUUAAGCUGGAGUGCCGGAGAGGUAAGCGGAAUUCCUAGUGUAGCGGUGAAAUGCGUAGAUAUUAGGAGGAACACCAGUGGCGAAGGCGGCUUACUGGACGGUAACUGACGUUGAGGCUCGAAAGCGUGGGGAGCAAACAGGAUUAGAUACCCUGGUA
This 434-nucleotide ribosomal RNA is filed under the name uncultured Lachnospiraceae bacterium. RNAcentral describes it as "partial 16S ribosomal RNA". It matches the Rfam family "Bacterial small subunit ribosomal RNA", at positions 341 to 792 of the family's 1533-position model. Lineage: Bacteria; Bacillati; Bacillota; Clostridia; Lachnospirales; Lachnospiraceae. The record is from RNAcentral.